RNAcentral lists this ribosomal RNA (572 nucleotides) under uncultured bacterium. Its description in RNAcentral is "bacterial SSU rRNA". It matches the Rfam family "Bacterial small subunit ribosomal RNA", at positions 42 to 657 of the family's 1533-position model. The record is from RNAcentral.
GCAUGCCUAACACAUGCAAGUCGAACGAGAUCUUCGGGUCUAGUGGCGCACGGGUGCGUAACGCGUGGGAAUCUGCCCUUUGGUUCGGAAUAACAGUUGGAAACGACUGCUAAUACCGGAUGAUGACGAAAGUCCAAAGAUUUAUCGCCAGAGGAUGAGCCCGCGUAGGAUUAGCUAGUUGGUGUGGUAAAGGCGCACCAAGGCGACGAUCCUUAGCUGGUCUGAGAGGAUGAUCAGCCACACUGGGGACUGAGACACGGCCCAGACUCCUACGGGAGGCAGCAGUGGGGGAAUAUUGGACAAUGGGGCGAAAGCCUGAUCCAGCAAUGCCGCGUGAGUGAUGAAGGCCUUAGGGUUGUAAAGCUCUCUUACCCGGGAUGAUAAUGACAGUACCGGGAGAAUAAGCCCCGGCUAACUCCGUGCCAGCAGCCGCGGUAAUACGGAGGGAGCUAGCGUUGUUCGGAAUUACUGGGCGUAAAGCGCACGUAGGCGACUUUGUAAGUUAGAGGUGAAAGCCUGGAGCUCAACUCCAGAACUGCCUUUAAGACUGCAUCGCUUGAAUCCAGGAGAGG